GUAGGGAAUCUUCCACAAUGGACGAAAGUCUGAUGGAGCAACGCCGCGUGAGUGAAGAAGGUCUUCGGAUCGUAAAACUCUGUUGUUAGAGAAGAACGUGCAUGAUAGUAACUGAUCAUGUAAUGACGGUAUCUAACCAGAAAGCCACGGCUAACUACGUGCCAGCAGCCGCGGUAAUACGUAGGUGGCAAGCGUUGUCCGGAUUUAUUGGGCGUAAAGGGAACGCAGGCGGUUUUUUAAGUCUGAUGUGAAAGCCUUCGGCUUAACCGAAGAAUAGCAUUGGAAACUGGAAGACUUGAGUGCAGAAGAGGAGAGUGGAAUUCCAUGUGUAGCGGUGAAAUGCGUAGAUAUUGGGAGGAACACCAGUGGCGAAGGCGACUUGCUGGCCAGCAACUGACGCUGAGGCGCGAAAGCCAGGGGAGCAAACGGGAUUAGAAACCCUGGUAGUCC
This 450-nucleotide ribosomal RNA is filed under the name uncultured bacterium. Its description in RNAcentral is "partial 16S ribosomal RNA". It matches the Rfam family "Bacterial small subunit ribosomal RNA", at positions 354 to 796 of the family's 1533-position model. The record is from RNAcentral.